Molecule: ribosomal RNA, 253 nt
Filed under: uncultured bacterium
Lineage: Bacteria
Description: partial 16S ribosomal RNA
Rfam family: Bacterial small subunit ribosomal RNA
Source: RNAcentral
UACGUAGGGCGCUAGCGUUGUUCGGAAUCAUUGGGCGUAAAGCGCGUGUAGGCGGUUAGUUAAGUCGGGUGUGAAAUCCCUGGGCUCAACCGAGGAAGUGCAUCCGAAACUAACUAGCUAGAGAAUGGUAGAGGAAGGUGGAAUUCCGUGUGUAGAGGUGAAAUUCGUAGAUAUACGGAGGAAUACCGGUGGCGAAGGCGGCCUUCUGGACCAUUUCUGACGCUGAGACGCGAAAGCGUGGGGAGCAAACAGG